AGUGAACGCUGGCGGUAGGCCUAACACAUGCAAGUCGAACGGCAGCACCGUAAGCGCUUGCUCUUACGGGUGGCGAGUGUAAGACGGGUGCGGCAAACAUCGGAAUCUCCUUUUUCGAGGGGGAUAACGUAGGGAAACUUACGCUAAUACCGCAUACGACCUACGGGUGUAAUCAUGUGAUCUUCGGAUCUUGUGCGAUUGAAUGAUCCGAUGUCGGAUUCGCUAGUUGGCGGGGUAAAGGCCCACCCAGGCGACGAUCCGUAGCUGGUCUGAGAGGAUGAUCAGCCACACUGGAACUGAGACACGGUCCAGACUCCUACGGGAGGCAGCAGUGGGGGGUAUUAGACAAUGGGCGCAAGCCUUAUCCAGCCAUACCGCGUAGGGGAAGAAGGCCUUCGAGUUGGAAAGCCCGUUUGUUGGGAUAGAAAAGCAGCAGGUUAAUACCCCGCUGGUCUUACGGUUCCCAAAGAAUAAGCACCGGCUAACUUCGUG
This 492-nucleotide ribosomal RNA is filed under the name uncultured bacterium. RNAcentral's name for it is "partial 16S ribosomal RNA". It matches the Rfam family "Bacterial small subunit ribosomal RNA", at positions 29 to 507 of the family's 1533-position model. The record is from RNAcentral.